ACACCCAGGAGAAUUCAUAUAAUAGAUGUGAAGACACGAUGUCAGUGCCUCUCCCUGGCAGUUGCUCCAGUGCAUCCAGAAAAACUUGUCUUCCUGACCUUUUCUGCUCUCAAGCCUCAGGGGGAAAAAUGUAAAAGCAGAAUUUAUGUCUCAGUGCCAAGAUGGUUCCUGCUGUGUGAAAUAAGUACAUCAUCUCAAGAUGCCAAUUCAGCAUCCUGCGAAACCACUGGGAUUGGGUGGAACAGAGAAUAUCUAUUAUAAGGGAAGAAAUCUUUGCACCUCUGCCAAAGAGCAACAAGAAUACAGUUUGGACCAUCAGAUAUUGUUUUUACUGGAUUCAGUGUGGCAGAAAUGAAAACAGAAGAUUAAUUUUCUGGUCCACAGUCACCAGCAUCCUUUUGCUUUUCAUUUCUCUUUUUUCUCUCUGCAUUCCAAGCAUGGUUAGUAGAAAGAUAUUGCAUCUAAUAUUCUACAGCAGAAUCCACGUUCUUUGCAAAGCAAUGAAUACAGAGCCUUCUUGUGGCCAGGGCCAAUUUCCUGAUCAACACAGGGCAACCAAUUCUGCCCUGUCUGCUAAUGCAAUAGAAUCACAGAGUUGCAAAAGACCAACAUCUCUACCCUAAAGAUAGGAUUAUUCAUAUACCCAUCAGCUCCUCCACAGAUCAUUCAAUGCAGGCUAGAUUAUAUGUACCACAAGCAAGCAGCCAGUGUGAUAUAAAAGGUGCCUGAAAUGUUGAUGUCUUCAAAUGAACAAGAAACAGCACAAACCAGCAUGACUGGAUUCAGAAAA
Hemicordylus capensis (graceful crag lizard) is the source of this 790-nucleotide long non-coding RNA. RefSeq lists it as uncharacterized. The transcript has 3 exons. Lineage: Eukaryota; Metazoa; Chordata; Lepidosauria; Squamata; Cordylidae. The record is from RefSeq and is a predicted model, not a curated record.